Molecule: non-coding RNA, 85 nt
Organism: Felis catus (domestic cat)
Lineage: Eukaryota; Metazoa; Chordata; Mammalia; Carnivora; Felidae
Source: Rfam
GCCUGGGUGGCUCAGUUGGUUAAGCAUCUGACUUCAGUUCAGGUCAUGAUCUCAUGGUUUGUGAGUUUGAGCCCUACAUCAGGCU